UUGUGUGAUUGUACUUCAAGACUGCGGUCGCGGUCGGCGGGCGCUGACCCGGGAUAGGGAUCCCCGGCGGCUCCGCGGGGGAGCGCGCCCGCCAAAGCGACGCGGUGGUAUAGGCAAGGGUUGGAGAUUGGGCCCCCGGGGGGACCCCAACUCGGUAAUGAUCCUUCCGCAGGUUCACCUACGGAAA
RNAcentral lists this unclassified non-coding RNA (187 nucleotides) under uncultured fungus. Its description in RNAcentral is "sequence contains ITS1, 5.8S rRNA gene". Lineage: Eukaryota; Fungi. The record is from RNAcentral.